GCUUAACGCGAAGAACCUUACCAGCUCUUGACAUCCCGCGCUAUCCGGAGAGAUCCGGGGUUCCCUUCGGGGACGCGGUGACAGGUGCUGCAUGGCUGUCGUCAGCUCGUGUCGUGAGAUGUUGGGUUAAGUCCCGCAACGAGCGCAACCCUCGCCCUUAGUUGCCAUCAUUCAGUUGGGCACUCUAGGGGGACUGCCGGUGAUAAGCCGAGAGGAAGGUGGGGAUGACGUCAAGUCCUCAUGGCCCUUACGGGCUGGGCUACACACGUGCUACAAUGGCGGUGACAAUGAGCAGCGACCUCGCGAGGGGAAGCUAAUCACAAAAAGCCGUCUCAGUUCGGAUUGCACUCUGCAACUCGGGUGCAUGAAGUUGGAAUCGCUAGUAAUCGCAGAUCAGCACGCUGCGGUGAAUACG
Molecule: ribosomal RNA, 415 nt
Filed under: uncultured bacterium
Lineage: Bacteria
Description: bacterial SSU rRNA
Rfam family: Bacterial small subunit ribosomal RNA
Source: RNAcentral